UACGUAGGGUGCGAGCGUUAAUCGGAAUUACUGGGCGUAAAGCGUGCGCAGGAGGUUUUGUAAGCCAGAUGUGAAAUCCCCGGGCUUAACCUGGGAAUGGCAUUUGGGACUGCAAGGCUGGAGUGCGGCAGAGGAGACUGGAAUUCCUGGUGUAGCAGUGAAAUGCGUAGAUAUCAGGAGGAACACCGAUGGCGAAGGCAGGUCUCUGGGCUGACACUGACGCUCAUGCACGAAAGCGUGGGGAGCAAACAGG
RNAcentral lists this ribosomal RNA (253 nucleotides) under uncultured bacterium. RNAcentral describes it as "partial 16S ribosomal RNA". It matches the Rfam family "Bacterial small subunit ribosomal RNA", at positions 524 to 776 of the family's 1533-position model. The record is from RNAcentral.